AAAAAAAAUUAGAAAUGAAUAGAAAGCAUCAAAUUUUUCAUCCAACUUGGAGAGACAAAGAACUUGAAGGAACGACUGCUAGUUUUGAUUUAGAGACAGAUAAUUGAGAGAUGAAUAUUUGAUUGAGAGAUUGAACAAGAGGGAGGGGGUGGCGGCUAGGUUUGCUAGGGUUGGAAGAAGAAACUAAAAAGUAGAUCUUUAUAUGGGAGAGAUGAAGAUCUGAACGAGAGAUUGAACAAGAGGAAGGGGGGCAGCGGCUAGAUUUGCUAGGGUUAGAACAAGAAACUACAAAGCAGAUCUGUAGAUGGGAGAGAAUAGAGAUGAAGAUUUGAUCAAGAGGGAGUGAGGGGGGCGGCGGCUAGGUUUGUUAGGUUAGAAGAAGAGACUGAAGGUGAGAGAGAAUAGAGGAGAUGAAGAUUUAAUCAGGAGGGAAUGAGGGGG
This 441-nucleotide long non-coding RNA is filed under the name Populus tremula. RNAcentral's name for it is "long non-coding RNA (PTRE_LNC001239)". The record is from RNAcentral. Lineage: Eukaryota; Viridiplantae; Streptophyta; Magnoliopsida; Malpighiales; Salicaceae.